RNAcentral lists this ribosomal RNA (496 nucleotides) under uncultured bacterium. RNAcentral describes it as "partial 16S ribosomal RNA". It matches the Rfam family "Bacterial small subunit ribosomal RNA", at positions 28 to 507 of the family's 1533-position model. The record is from RNAcentral.
GAUGAACGCUGGCGGCGUGCCUAAUACAUGCAAGUCGAGCGAACGGACGAGAAGCUUGCUUCUCUGAUGUUAGCGGCGGACGGGUGAGUAACACGUGGAUAACCUACCUAUAAGACUGGGAUAACUUCGGGAAACCGUAGCUAAUACCGGAUAAUAUUUUGAACCGCAUGGUUCAAAAGUGAAAGACGGUCUUCUGUCACUUAUAGAUGGAUCCGCGCUGCAUUAGCUAGUUGGUAAGGUAACGGCUUACCAAGGCAACGAUGCAUAGCCGACCUGAGAGGCUGAUCGGCCACACUGGGACUGAGACGCGGUCCAGACUCCUACGGGAGGCAGCAGUAGGGAAUCUUCCGCAAUGGGCGAAAGCCUGACGGAGCAACGCCGCGUGAGUGAUGAAGGUCUUCGGAUCGUAAAACUCUGUUAUUAGGGAAGAACAUAUGUGUAAGUAACUGUGCACAUCUUGACGGUACCUAAUCAGAAAGCCACGGCUAACUACGUG